AGUGAACGCUGGCGGUAGGCCUAACACAUGCAAGUCGAACGGCAGCACAGAGGAGCUUGCUCCUUGGGUGGCGAGUGGCGGACGGGUGAGGAAUACAUCGGAAUCUACUCUGUCGUGGGGGAUAACGUAGGGAAACUUACGCUAAUACCGCAUACGACCUACGGGUGAAAGCAGGGGACCUUCGGGCCUUGCGCGAUUGAAUGAGCCGAUGUCGGAUUAGCUAGUUGGCGGGGUAAAGGCCCACCAAGGCGACGAUCCGUAGCUGGUCUGAGAGGAUGAUCCGCCACACUGGAACUGAGACACGGUCCAGACUCCUACGGGAGGCGGCAGUGGGGAAUAUUGGACAAUGGGCGCAAGCCUGAUCCAGCCAUACCGCGUGGGUGAAGAAGGCCUUCGGGUUGUAAAGCCCUUUUGUUGGGAAAGAAAUCCAGCUGGUUAAUACCCGGUUGGGUUGACGGUACCCAAAGAAUAAGCACCGGCUAACUUCGUGCCAGCAGCCGCAGUAA
This 506-nucleotide ribosomal RNA is filed under the name uncultured bacterium. RNAcentral's name for it is "partial 16S ribosomal RNA". It matches the Rfam family "Bacterial small subunit ribosomal RNA", at positions 29 to 523 of the family's 1533-position model. The record is from RNAcentral.